Molecule: ribosomal RNA, 442 nt
Filed under: uncultured bacterium
Lineage: Bacteria
Description: bacterial SSU rRNA
Rfam family: Bacterial small subunit ribosomal RNA
Source: RNAcentral
GCCUACGGGGGGCAGCAGUUAGGGAUCUUCCGCAAUGGGCGAAAGCCUGACGGAGCGACACUGCGUGAGGGAAGGAGUCCUUCGGGAUGUAAACCUCUGUCAAGAGGGGAAGAAACAGACGGUACCCUCAAAGGAAGCCCCGGCUAACUACGUGCCAGCAGCCGCGGUAAAACGUAGGGGGCGAGCGUUAUCCGGAAUUACUGGGCGUAAAGGGCGUGCAGGCGGUCAGGUGUAUCGAGGGUGAAAUCCCACGGCACAACUGUGGGAAGACUCUCGAGAUUAUCUGACUAGAGGGUAGAAGAGGGAGAUAGAAUUCCCGGUGUAGCGGUGGAAUGCGUAGAUAUCGGGAAGAAUGCCGGUGGUGAAGACGGUCUCCCAGGCUACUCCUGACGCUGAGGCGCGAAAGCUAGGGGAGCGAACGGGAUUAGAUACCCUGGUAGUC